GGGGACGUUACGGAUUCGACAGGGAUGGUUCAAGCUUGAGCUGCGCGUCGGAGGUCUCGGCUCCGUCAUCAACGGAAGUUAUAUAAUAACUGGCAAACAACAAAAUUUAGCUUUCGCAGCGUAAGCUCGUAAGCGCUCUGCCUCUCUAUCGCCCAUGUAGAGAACGUGGGGCUUAAACUUAGUGGGAUACGGUCGGUGGUGCCGCUUGAGUCACCGGCAAGAGAUUUCCAAGCUAGUGCACAGGACGCCUGUUUGUCGGCAUAAUGUUGCACGAAUUGCAAAUAGGCAAACUACACGCGUAGACGUUUGAGUAUUGGAGUUUCUGGACGCGGGUUCGACUCCCGCCGUCUCCAUAU
Molecule: transfer-messenger RNA, 356 nt
Filed under: Ureibacillus acetophenoni
Lineage: Bacteria; Bacillati; Bacillota; Bacilli; Caryophanales; Caryophanaceae
Description: Standard tmRNA
Rfam family: transfer-messenger RNA
About the family: Bacterial tmRNA, also known as 10Sa RNA or SsrA, is named for its dual tRNA and mRNA-like properties. Its role is to liberate the mRNA from a stalled ribosome. To accomplish this part of the tmRNA is used as a reading frame that ends in a translation stop signal.
Source: RNAcentral